Molecule: ribosomal RNA, 1471 nt
Filed under: metagenome
Description: bacterial SSU rRNA
Rfam family: Bacterial small subunit ribosomal RNA
Source: RNAcentral
AGAGUUUGAUUCUGGCUCAGAACAAACGCUGGCAGCGUGGAUUAGGCAUGCAAGUCGAACGAGAAUCUAUUCAUUCAAUCUUCGGAAAGAAAGUUUAGAGGACAGUGGCGGAAGGGUGAGUAACGCGUGGGCAAUCUGCCCUCGAGACAGGGAUAACGCUUGGAAACGAACGCUAAUACCUGAUGAGGUGGCUUUAUUAGAUUAGAGCUAACUAAAGGUGGGGAUUCUUCGGAACCUGCCGCUUGAGGAGGAGCCCGCGUCCCAUCAGUUAGUUGGUAGGGUAAUGGCCUACCAAGACUAAGACGGGUAGCCGGCCUGAGAGGGUGAUCGGCCACACUGGGACUGAGACACUGCCCAGACUCCUACGGGAGGCUGCAGUCGAGGAUCAUUCGCAAUGCGCGAAAGCGUGACGAUGCGACGCUGCGUGUAGGAUGACGGCCUUCGGGUUGUAAACUACUGUCAUAAGGGAAAAAUAUGGCGAGGGUUAAUAACUCUUGCAAUUGAUGUUACCUUAAGAGGAAGCCACGGCUAACUCUGUGCCAGCAGCCGCGGUAAUACAGAGGUGGCGAGCGUUGUUCGGAUUUACUGGGCGUAAAGGGUGUGUAGGUGGUCACGUAUGUCGGAUGUGAAAUUCCGGGGCCUAACCCCGGCGCUGCAUUCGAAACUGCGUGUCUAGAGUACAGGAGAGGUAAGCGGAAUUCUUGGUGUAGCGGUGAAAUGCGUUGAUAUCAAGAAGAACACCGGAUGCGAAGGCGGCUUACUGGAAUGUUACUGACACUGAUACACGAAAGCUAGGGGAGCAAACAGGUUUAGAUACCCUGGUAGUCCUAGCCGUAAACGGUGUGCACUCGGUGUUGGCGGAAUUGUCCCCGCCAGUGCCUAAGCUAACGCGUUAAGUGCACCGCCUGGGGAGUACGGUCGCAAGAUUAAAACUCAAAGAAAUUGACGGGGACCCGCACAAGCGGAGGAGCAUGUGGCUUAAUUCGAUCCUACGCGAAGAACCUUACCUGGGCUUGACAUAUAUCUGCACGUCCUGUGAAAGCAGGAUUCCUUCGAGGGUGAUAUACAGGUGCUGCAUGGCUGUCGUCAGUUCGUGCCGUGAGGUGUUGGGUUAAGUCCCGCAACGAACGCAACCCCUGUGUUUAGUUGCUACCAGGUAAUGCUGAGCACUCUAGACAGACUGCCCGUGUAAUCGGGAGGAAGGUGGGGACGACGUCAAGUCAGUAUGGCCCUUACGCCCAGGGCUGCACACGUGCUACAAUGAUCGGUACAGAGGGUUGCAAUACCGCGAGGUGGAGCAAAUCCCUUAAAACCGGUCCCAGUUCGGAUUGGAGUCUGCAACUCGACUCCAUGAAGUUGGAUUCGCUAGUAACGGCGUAUCAGCUACGACGCCGUGAAUACGUUCCCGGGUCUUGUACACACCGCCCGUCACAUCAUGAAAGCCGUCUGCACCCAAAGUCGCUGACCCAAC